GUAGCUUGCUACGGGGAUAAUUAGUGGCAGACGGGUGAGUAAUGCAUAGGAAUCUACCUAGUAGUAUAGGAUAGCCACUAGAAAUGGUGGGUAAUACUGUAUAAUCCCUGCGGGGGAAAGAUUUAUCGCUACAUGAUGAGCCUAUGUUAGAUUAGCUAGUUGGUAGGGUAAAGGCCUACCAAGGCGAUGAUCUAUAGCUGGUCUGAGAGGAUGAUCAGCCACACUGGAACUGAGAUACGGUCCAGACUCCUACGGGAGGCAGCAGUGGGGAAUAUUGGACAAUGGGCGCAAGCCUGAUCCAGCUAUGCCGCGUGAGUGAGGAAGGCCUUAGGGUUGUAAAACUCUUUCAGUAGGGAAGAUAAUGACGGUACCUACAGAAGAAGUCCCGGCAAACUCCGUGCCAGCAGCCGCGGUAAUACGGAGGGGGCAAGCGUUGUUCGGAAUUAUUGGGCGUAAAGGGCAUGUAGGCGGUUCGGUAAGUUAAAGGUGAAAUGCCAGGGCUUAACCCUGGAGCUGCUUUUAAUACUGCCAGACUUGAGUCCGGAAGAGGAUAGCGGAAUUCCUAGUGUAGAGGUGAAAUUCGUAGAUAUUAGGAGGAACACCAGUGGCGAAGGCGGCUAUCUGGUCCGGAACUGACGCUGAGGUGCGAAAGCGUGGGGAGCAAACAGGAUUAGAUAC
Molecule: ribosomal RNA, 678 nt
Filed under: uncultured Anaplasma sp.
Lineage: Bacteria; Pseudomonadati; Pseudomonadota; Alphaproteobacteria; Rickettsiales; Anaplasmataceae
Description: bacterial SSU rRNA
Rfam family: Bacterial small subunit ribosomal RNA
Source: RNAcentral